Molecule: ribosomal RNA, 498 nt
Filed under: Triticum aestivum (bread wheat)
Lineage: Eukaryota; Viridiplantae; Streptophyta; Magnoliopsida; Poales; Poaceae
Description: partial small subunit ribosomal RNA
Source: RNAcentral
CAGCUGAACCAGGCCAAGUCCUCUGUCAUCCCGAUGAACUGCGAUGCCCAGACGCUGGAGGAUGUGUUGCAUGGCUUCGGUGGCGCGAUCACCAGCUUUCCCACCUCCUACCUAGGGCUGCCAAUAUCCCCGAAGAGGUUGUGGAUCAUGCACUUCCAAUUCCUCAUCGAUCGGAUCAAAUCGCGCCUCGCUGGUUGGAAGGGAAAGCUUAUGUCCCUGGCCGGCCGACGCGUCCUAUUGCGUACGGUCCUCUUCGCCUUGCCCACACUCUCGAUGCUCAAGGUGCCCAAGAAAGUUUUGAACGAAAUUAACAAAGUGAGGCGACACUUCUUGUGGGCGCAAGAUGAAGCGUUGACGGGCGGCAAGUGCAAAGUGGCAUGGAGCUCUGUCUGCUCUCCGACGGAGAAGGGCGGGCUAGGGCUCCCUCUGCAGCUCUUCGGCUCCGCCCUGCGGUUGCGGUGGCUAUGGCUGGCCUGGCAGCAGCCGCUGAGACCCUAG